This is an RNA transcript of Lutra lutra (Eurasian river otter), 5530 nucleotides long. It is a transcript of the gene named metastasis associated 1 family member 3, with no coding region annotated. The transcript is spliced from 19 exons. The record is from RefSeq and is a predicted model, not a curated record. NCBI's taxonomy places the organism in Eukaryota, Metazoa, Chordata, Mammalia, Carnivora, Mustelidae.
GGCGGCGGCGGCGGCGGCGGCCGAGGCUGAGGCUGAGGCUGAGGCGGCGGCGGCGGCGGCGGCGGCGGCGGCGGCGGCGGGCGGGGCUCGGCUCGGGCUCCGCGGGCGGGCGGGCGGACAUGGCGGCCAACAUGUACCGGGUCGGAGAUUAUGUCUACUUUGAGAAUUCCUCCAGUAACCCAUACCUAAUCAGAAGGAUAGAAGAACUCAACAAGACUGCAACUGGCAACGUGGAAGCAAAAGUAGUGUGCUUUUAUAGACGACGAGAUAUUUCGAACACGCUUAUAAUGCUUGCAGACAAGCAUGCUAAAGAAAUUGAGGAAGAAUCAGAAACCACAAUUGAAGCCGACUUGACGGAUAAACAGAAGCAUCAGCUGAAACAUAGGGAGCUCUUCUUGUCACGCCAGUAUGAAUCUCUGCCUGCAACUCAUAUCAGGGGAAAAUGCAGUGUUGCCCUUCUGAAUGAGACAGAGUCAGUAUUGUCGUAUCUUGAUAAAGAGGACACCUUUUUCUACUCAUUGGUCUAUGACCCUUCAGUGAAAACACUGUUAGCUGACAAAGGUGAAAUCAGAGUGGGGCCUAGAUAUCAAGCAGACAUUCCAGAGAUGCUCUUAGAAGGAGAGUCAGAUGAGAGGGAACAGUCCAAAUUGGAAGUUAAAGUUUGGGAUCCAAAUAGCCCACUUACGGAUCGACAGAUUGACCAGUUCUUAGUUGUAGCACGUGCCGUGGGGACAUUCGCUCGAGCCCUUGAUUGCAGCAGUUCUGUGAGGCAGCCGAGUCUGCAUAUGAGCGCAGCUGCGGCGUCUCGAGACAUCACCCUGUUUCACGCUAUGGAUACGUUGUAUAGGCACAGCUAUGAUUUGAGCAGUGCAAUUAGUGUCUUAGUACCACUUGGAGGACCUGUGUUAUGCAGAGAUGAAAUGGAAGAGUGGUCAGCCUCUGAAGCUAGUUUAUUUGAAGAGGCACUGGAAAAAUAUGGCAAAGACUUCAAUGACAUACGUCAAGACUUUCUCCCUUGGAAAUCAUUGACUAGCAUCAUUGAAUAUUAUUACAUGUGGAAAACUACUGACAGAUACGUGCAGCAGAAACGUCUAAAAGCAGCAGAAGCCGAGAGUAAACUGAAGCAAGUGUAUAUCCCAACUUACAGCAAACCAAAUCCCAACCAAAUAUCUGCCAGCAAUGGCAAACCUGGUGCUGUGAAUGGAGCCGUGGGGACCACAUUCCAGCCACAGAAUCCCCUCCUAGGGCGAGCCUGUGAGAGCUGCUACGCUACACAGUCUCAUCAGUGGUAUUCUUGGGGCCCACCUAAUAUGCAGUGUCGAUUGUGUGCGACCUGUUGGCUCUAUUGGAAAAAAUAUGGAGGCCUGAAAAUGCCCACCCAGUCAGAGGAAGAGAAGUUAUCGCCCAGCCCAACUACAGAGGACCCCCGUGUUAGGAGUCACAUGUCUCGCCAGGCCAUGCAGGGGAUGCCAGUCCGAAACACGGGGAGCCCAAAGUCUGCAGUGAAGACUCGCCAAGCUUUCUUCCUUCACACUACGUAUUUCACAAAAUUUGCUCGUCAGGUCUGCAAAAAUACCCUCCGGCUGCGGCAGGCAGCAAGACGGCCGUUUGUUCCUAUUAAUUAUGCUGCCAUUAGGGCAGAAUAUGCAGACAGACAUGCCGAGCUAUCUGGAAGUCCACUGAAAAGCAAAAGCACUAGGAAACCUUUGGCAUGUAUCAUUGGGUAUUUAGAGAUCCAUCCUUCGAAGAAACCUAAUGUAAUUCGAACUACGCCAAGCCUGCAAACCCCCACUACCAAGCGGAUGCUAGCCACCCCGAAUCACACGUCUUUGAGCAUUUUGGGGAAAAGAAACUACAGUCAUCACAAUGGCCUGGAUGGGGUACUACUGAAGCAGGACUCAGUGUCAGAAAAACCAGAGCAACUGGCUCAGGAAAGAGAAAGGCUCAUGAAGUGAAGGCCCAGCUCUGUUCCAUCCUGCAGACCUUCCUCAGGAUGGCGGGAGGCUGUGAAGAACUCACAUGCUGCGUGUCGGACUGAGCUAACCCUAUUUCAUACUAUAAGCCAAGACUCGCUACACUGUCCUGCUGAUGUUCACAGCCGUGCCUGGGAAGGAGGCAGCCCCAUUUCCAGCACAUUUCAGUGGGAGACCUACACAUGUGCCCCCUGGAGACUCGGUGGGGCAGGGGAAGAAACUGUGGGAGUGCACGUCCCCAAAGCCGCGUCUCCAUGUGUGAAUCAGUGUCACCUUGCUUUCCUCUCAGAGACUUCACUGUCCCAUAGCGGGACCUGCCUGAAAAUGGAGGGGACAAGGGGGCCCUCAGUCUCCUCCUUCUCCAACACUCCGUUCCCAGGCACUGCGGCUCCUCGGGCAGCGGAGCGCCUAAGAGCUCAGAGCUGCUGCUGCCCUGCAUGCGUCAGCUCAGCCCUAUUGUCAGUGCCAUGAUGGUCUACGGGAGGGACAUGGCCGCUUUCUGAAUGGAUUUUUCUUAAGAAAAGUGCCAGUGUUUAUCCAGUUCAUGAUAUUCUCCUCUCCUUACCAUUACUGUCACUUGGCUUUUUCUCAAUAGGUUUCAUCUUCAUUUUUUUUUUUAAUGGGGAAGUUUUGCUAUCACCCCUCUAUCCUAUAUUUGGCUUCCCCUCCUCUACCCUUCCUAGGUACAGAAUUAUGAGAUUCUGACAAAAAAAUAAGAAAAUCUUCUUCAGUAAGCCUGCGAACACUUCAUAUCAUCUGUAUUUUAUUGUUGGAGAGGCUGGUGUUCUACUAGGUGCUGCCUGGUCCCAGACAGCCCAAGCAAAAGCAGGUGUUGAAACCGAGCUGAGUGUAUAUCACUGUGACAAGCCAUUCGCAUACUGCCCUGUUCCCUGACAGCCAAGCCAGCCGCCGAGCAACUGCCACCAGGUUAGUCCUUCAACGAGUCACAAAUCACCCAGGUUUAUUUUAAGCAGAUGAAAUCUGUUUGGCCUCGGAGGGUGAAAUGAGAGACGUGUGUUUGCAGGUGAGUGUGUAUAUCUGACACCACGAGCUCCCCACCCUUCCAGCCCAGACAUUCUGUGAACACACGUGCCUAGGCCCCCAGAGAUGUGCCUGUGACCCAGUUUUUACUGGCUUUGGGCUUUUCCUCUCUGCCCUCAGCACCAGCCCUUGCUGGCCCCACAGGCUGGCCAUUCUGCAGCUCUGUGCACACAGCUUCAGGCGUGUGAAUAACUUAGUGCCCCCACAACUCCCCUGAACUGAUGGGAGCCUGGCCACUCCCUUGUCCUCCAUUUAUAGGGACAGGCUGCAGGGCACAGGCUCACAGCACCGUGAAAGGAAACCGGAGUCUGGCCUUAGAGCUGCCCCUGGGGUCUGUAGCCGAUGGACAAACAGCCAGGUGGUUGCAGGACAGAAUGACUACAAUUGAGUUGACACUCCCCAGCCCCCCACCCCCUGCCCCCCAGCAGAGUGAGGUCUCAUUAAAAUAACAAUGACACUGUAGAUGCCCAGAUCCUCAGAGGCUGGGUUCAGCUCAGCAAAGAGAACGUGAUGGAUGAUGACUGUCGGCGAUGCCCAGAGCUCAAGCUGCCUUCUCCUUCUCCUGUUUUGCAGCUAGCAUGGUUUCUCUUCCAAGGCAUUGCUUCUCAUCUUUGGCUCUGGCAAGGAUGACCUGGGGCUGUUCUCACCACUGCCAACUCUUGGGGCUGUUCUGAGUCUUGCCCUGUGUUAGAGGUGCCCAGUGAGUAGGGCGGAGGUGACAGGCAUCGCCCUUAGGGUUCCCCAGAAAGAAGCCCCUCUGAAAAGACCCAGGGAGAGGAGGCAGCUGGCUCUCUGCAUCACACGCCACAUGGUGUGUUCUUUCUAAAGAAAGACACGGGAAGGCUGUCUGCAUGUCCUGCCCAGGGUUUACUGUCUCACAUAGACAUAGAAGGUACAAUGGCUCCCUGGCCCUUGCCCGCCCUCUCCUGACCCUGUGAAAUGUCACUGUUGAUUACAGAAAAGUCCACUUCCGUGUCCCUGCUGCCAAGCUUCUCCGCCUUUUGGGAGAGGCCCUCCUCACCCAGGCCCAGGAGACUUGGAGAUUGAGGCCAACCCCUGUCUACAGGGAGAACAGGGAGUCCCUUACCCUAGGUGUAGUUCACACUGAGCUCUGGCAAAAGUGCAGCUUGUUCUGAGCCGCGUGUACCGAGAAAGCUCUUCCUGCACCUUGUAGUAAGAGCUCCUGGUUCUGCAGCCCCGUCCUACAAAGAGGAGGCUCCCCAGCAUUCUAACUGAACACUCGAGGGAAUAGAGGGACGACACCCAGGAGCCUCUAACAUUUGCCUUGGCCGUUCUGAGUGCUUGGUGUGAGAGGGUUUCCCAGCCACCCCCUUCCUGGGGCCACAGUGCCUCCAUGGAGUGUGCUGGGGACAUGUCACCAGGUGCAGCGCACUUGUGGGGAGGACAUGCGGGGUCUGUCUGCACGGCCCAUGGCAGCUUUACCCGGAGGCGCUGUGCUGAGCCUGGUCUACGCUCCCUUGGAUGAGGACACAGAAGCUCACAAGCCAUCUUCCCACUCUGCCUCACCACCUGCCCACCCCUAGAGAUGGUGCAAAAGAGGACAGACUGGUUUUCAGCCCACCUCUCACAGCUCCACGUUGCCCACAGCCCGGUUUCUGUCAGUCAGCAUCCAACCAGGGACACACAGCCACUCCCAAUAUUUAAAACAGGGGUUUUCAUCCAGAGAAUUAUUGAACACAGCAAGAAGAGGCCCAACUCAGGUGGGGAACAACAGCGGGAAGCGGCCACCCCCCGGAGGCUGGUAGAGGCCACAUUACCAGAGCGCAGGGAUUAGGGCCCCUGGGAGGAACAGGGGACCAAGGCCUAUCUGGUGGGACCUGGGGCCUCAAGGAGGCAUGGAGGCUGCUGGAAACAACCCCCAGGCAGGUGUGGGGAGAAAUAGCCUGGCUUCUUCUUUUUUCAUGCCCUAUAGGUUCUUCAGGAGCCUCUUAGUUCAACUCGGCUGGAAGCCAGCUGAGCUGGGGUCCUGGGACAAGCACGCCCCUGCCACUCAGAGCAGGGGGUGGAGGUAGAGAAGGAGUCUGAGCGUAGGCAGGCUGCAUUGGGUGUGGCCUCGGUCUGCUCUGUGUCAGGCCCAGCCUGGCGUGUCUGCCCUGUGCUAUCCUAAGACCCCGCUGAGGGGAGAUGCAGGCCCCAUGGAGGUUCUGCAGAUCACUCACCUAGAGAGGAAAACAUCUUUGGGAGGGAGGGGUAAAGCCUUAUUCUCAGUAGUCGUCCCUGUUUUCUUUUGGGGGAAUUUACCUGUUUAGCAACCCCUUGCCAUUCCCCUCAGGAAAGCCAUGUCCCAGUUUUCUGUCCAUCCCUCCCCUCUGUUCCUCUGCCCUCAAUUUCUGAUUUGCCCUGCCAGAGAGCACUAGCCCAGACCAUACAUCAGCGGUCAUGAGUGUUUUCCCAGGAUAAUUCAUUCAGAGCGUGGUAUUACUGUGGACUGUCUGUAAGUAGGUACCAUCUACUAAUCAAUUUGUGUUGUGUUUCCAAUAAAUUUCUGGAGAUCA